UGGGGAAUAUUGCGCAAUGGGGGCAACCCUGACGCAGCAACGCCGCGUGCGGGACGAAGGCCUUCGGUUGUAAACCGCUUUCAGCAGGGAAGAACCAUGACGGUACCUGCAGAAGAAGCCCCGGCUAACUACGUGCC
This 137-nucleotide ribosomal RNA is filed under the name uncultured bacterium. Its description in RNAcentral is "partial 16S ribosomal RNA". It matches the Rfam family "Bacterial small subunit ribosomal RNA", at positions 355 to 509 of the family's 1533-position model. The record is from RNAcentral.